GCAGUCGUGGCCGACUGGUUAAGGCGAUAAACUAGAAAUCCAUUGUGGUCUUCCCGCACAGGUUCGAAUCCUGUCGACUGCG
This 82-nucleotide transfer RNA is filed under the name Ixodes scapularis (black-legged tick). It matches the Rfam family "tRNA". Rfam says of the family: Transfer RNA (tRNA) molecules are approximately 80 nucleotides in length. Their secondary structure includes four short double-helical elements and three loops (D, anti-codon, and T loops). Lineage: Eukaryota; Metazoa; Arthropoda; Arachnida; Ixodida; Ixodidae. The record is from Rfam by way of RNAcentral.